RNAcentral lists this ribosomal RNA (322 nucleotides) under uncultured eukaryote. Its description in RNAcentral is "partial 18S ribosomal RNA". It matches the Rfam family "Eukaryotic small subunit ribosomal RNA", at positions 1470 to 1796 of the family's 1831-position model. The record is from RNAcentral.
CCCUUAGAUGUUCUGGGCCGCACGCGUGCUACACUGAGUGGAUCAGCGGGUCAGGUUGCGCGAAAGCGUUUCCUAAUCUUUAAAUCCGCUCGUGAUGGGGAUUGACGGUUGCAAUUUUCUGUCAUGAACGAGGAAUACCUUGUAAGCGCGGGUCAUCAUCCCGCGCUGAAUACGUCCCUGCCCUUUGUACACACCGCCCGUCGCUCCUACCGAUUGAGUGGUCCGGUGAGGCUUUGGGAUCUGAGCGGAAAGAGCGUUUCGCCGUUUCUGCUCGGAAAACUCAGUCGAACCUUAUCAUUUAGAGGAAGGAGAGGUCGUAACA